UGGGGGAUAUUGCACAAUGGAGGAAACUCUGAUGCAGCAACGCCGCGUGAGGGAAGAAGGUCUUCGGAUUGUAAACCUUAGUAGUCAGGGACGAAAGAAAUGACGGUACCUGAAGAGUAAGCUCCGGCUAACUACGUGCCAGCAGCCGCGGUAAUACGUAGGGAGCGAGCGUUGUCCGGAUUUACUGGGUGUAAAGGGUGCGUAGGCGGGACUGCAAGUCAGACGUGAAAUACCGAGGCUUAACUUCGGGGCUGCGUUUGAAACUGUGGUUCUUGAGUGAAGUAGAGGCAGGCGGAAUUCCUAGUGUAGCGGUGAAAUGCGUAGAUAUUAGGAGGAACACCAGUGGCGAAGGCGGCCUGCUGGGCUUUAACUGACGCUGAAGCACGAAAGCAUGGGGAGCAAACAGGAUUAGAUACCCUGGUAGUCCAUGCCGUAAACGAUGAUAGCUAGGUGUGGGGGGACUGACCCCUUCCGUGCCGCAGCAAACGCAAUAAGCUAUCCACCUGGGGAGUACGACCGCAAGGUUGAAACUCAAAUGAAUUGACGGGGGUCAUAGCUGUUUUUCCU
Molecule: ribosomal RNA, 567 nt
Filed under: uncultured bacterium
Lineage: Bacteria
Description: partial 16S ribosomal RNA
Rfam family: Bacterial small subunit ribosomal RNA
Source: RNAcentral